AAAAUACUCCCUCUGUUUUAAAAAAUUUGUCUUAGAUUUGUCCAAAUACGGAUGUAUCUAAUACUAAAACGUGACUUGAUACAUCCGUAUCUAGACAAAUGUAAAAUAAGAAUGUUGGGACGGAGGAAGUAUGAA
Molecule: non-coding RNA, 135 nt
Organism: Triticum aestivum (bread wheat)
Lineage: Eukaryota; Viridiplantae; Streptophyta; Magnoliopsida; Poales; Poaceae
Source: Rfam